GGGCACCACCAGGGGGUCUUGCUGCUGCUUCUUUGACUCAACACGGGAAAUCUCACCAGGCCCGGACACCGGAAGGAUUGACAGAUUAACAGCUCUUUCUUGAUUCGGUGGGUGGUGGUGCAUGGCCGUUCUUAGUUGGUGGAGCGAUUUGUCUGGUUAAUUCCGGUAACGAACGAGACUCUAGCCUGCUAAAUAGGCGUUGCCAUUUAGGUGUGCUCGACUUCGGUCGUGCAGCUCACUGGCUACGUAUUAAAAUUCUUCUUAGAGGGACCGGCGGCUUCGAGCCGCACGAGAUUGAGCAAUAACAGGUCUGUGAUGCCCUUAGAUGUCCUGGGCCGCACGCGCGCUACACUGAAGGAAUCA
Molecule: ribosomal RNA, 363 nt
Filed under: Ampittia subvittatus
Lineage: Eukaryota; Metazoa; Arthropoda; Insecta; Lepidoptera; Hesperiidae
Description: SSU rRNA
Rfam family: Eukaryotic small subunit ribosomal RNA
Source: RNAcentral